This 1165-nucleotide long non-coding RNA is filed under the name Sus scrofa (pig). RNAcentral's name for it is "lncRNA (ENSSSCG00065002825.1)". Lineage: Eukaryota; Metazoa; Chordata; Mammalia; Artiodactyla; Suidae. The record is from RNAcentral.
UGUGACCCCGGAGCCCAGACCCCUGGUUACAUCCUGACUGCCGUGUGGCCUUGAGCAAGCCUCUGCCCCUCUCUGGACCCCACAUCCCUCACCUGUGUUGACGACGAUGACAACAACCACCGUCACCUACACAGCACUUCCUGGGUCCUGUUCUGUGUGACCCUGCGCCUCUAACCUCCAGUGCACUAAGUAUCAUUACCGUCCAUUGUACAGAUGACUCAACUGAGGCACAGAGGCGUUCAGGAACCUACUCAGCAUCUGGACAGUACCCACGAUGAACAUUCCAGGCCUCUGCAGGUCCAGAGUGGAAGGUGCAGAAGUGAGAGGGCCGAGCUCCACCGGUUCGUGAUCCGUAGUGACCCUGGAACGAGGUUCUUUACCUGAGUCACCUCAUCUCGUCUUCUGGACAGCCCAUAAGCCAGCGCAGCUCCCGUGCCCACUUUGCAGACCGAGAAACCCAGGCUCUUGUGCAGCCCUUCAUGCAGUCUUAAUGAGGACCUGGUUGAGCUGGGAUUCAAACCCAAGUUAGUCUGGAGCUCCCGCUGUGGCGUAGCGGGUUAAGAAUCUGAUGGCAGUGGCUCGGGUCACGGUGGGGGCGCGGGUUCAUUUCCCGACCCCUUAACAGUGGGUUAAAGGAUCCAGCAUCGCUGCAGCUGCGGCUUGGAUUCAGUCGCUGGCCCAAGAACCUCCAUGUGCCAAGGAUGCGGCCAUAAAAAACCAAAACAGAACAAACCCCCCAAGUCUGUCUGAAUCCAGAAUCCGAGCUCUUAACAGCGCGCUCCUCCUUGCAGGGGCAGAAGUCAGGAAGUCCCUGCCACAGAGGCCCUGGAAGCAGGGCCUAGAGUGCGACGCCAGUGGACAAAGCCUGGGCUGGGGACCAGGUGACCUGGGUACAUCUCUCCUGGGCCCCACACUCACGAAUACUUCCCUGAGUUCACGGGCAAAAUGGAGAUGAUAAUAAUAGGGCCUCCUCUAUGGGGCGAUUAUCUUACAGGAACGAGUUUUCAGAAGCACGUAUCACAGUGCCUGACACAUAGUAGGUGCCCCGUCAAAGCUCGCCAUCAUUUCUGUGGAUGAGUUCACAGCAGCCUCUUAAGAGCGUGGGAGCAGCGUGCGUGAGGCGCUUUGCCGUGUGCCCCAGUCUCGGAGACUCCCCGAACUGAAA